Molecule: ribosomal RNA, 822 nt
Filed under: Stereum sanguinolentum
Lineage: Eukaryota; Fungi; Basidiomycota; Agaricomycetes; Russulales; Stereaceae
Description: eukaryotic LSU rRNA
Rfam family: Eukaryotic small subunit ribosomal RNA (bases 1-223)
Source: RNAcentral
UUCCUAGUAAGCGUGAGUCAUCAGCUCGCGUUGAUUACGUCCCUGCCCUUUGUACACACCGCCCGUCGCUACUACCGAUUGAAUGGCUUAGUGAGACCUCCGGAUUGGCUUUGGGGAGUCGGCAACGACACCUUAUUGCUGAGAAGUUGGUCAAACUUGGUCAUUUAGAGGAAGUAAAAGUCGUAACAAGGUUUCCGUAGGUGAACCUGCGGAAGGAUCAUUAAUGAAAUUUAUGACUGGGGUUGUCGCUGGCCUUUAAAAACGGCAUGUGCACGCCCCUUUCACUAAUCCACACACACCUGUGCACCUUCGCGGGGGCUCUCGGGGAACCGACGCAAGUCGUAAGUACCGGAGCUCGCGUCCCUUUACACACCCCUUUGUAUGUCUUAAGAAUGUCUACUCGAUGUAAUAAAACGCAUCUAAUACAACUUUCAACAACGGAUCUCUUGGCUCUCGCAUCGAUGAAGAACGCAGCGAAAUGCGAUAAGUAAUGUGAAUUGCAGAAUUCAGUGAAUCAUCGAAUCUUUGAACGCACCUUGCGCCCUUUGGUAUUCCGAAGGGCACACCUGUUUGAGUGUCGUGAAAUUCUCAACCCUCUUCACUUUUUUGGUGAAGCCAGGGCUUGGACUUGGAGGCUUUGCCGGCUCUGCUCGGCUCCUCUCAAAUGCAUUAGUGCGUCUUGUUGCGACGUGCGCCUCGGUGUGAUAAUUAUCUACGCUGUGGUGUGCUUGCUUCUGUGGAGACGCGCUUUCAAACCGUCCGAAAGGACAACUUUCAUCGAACUUUGACCUCAAAUCAGGUGGGACUACCCGCUGAACUUAA